RNAcentral lists this ribosomal RNA (460 nucleotides) under uncultured bacterium. Its description in RNAcentral is "partial 16S ribosomal RNA". It matches the Rfam family "Bacterial small subunit ribosomal RNA", at positions 338 to 795 of the family's 1533-position model. The record is from RNAcentral.
CCUACGGGAGGCAGCAGUGAGGAAUAUUGGUCAAUGGACGAGAGUCUGAACCAGCCAAGUAGCGUGAAGGAUGACUGCCCUAUGGGUUGUAAACUUCUUUUAUAUGGGAAUAAAGUGAGGAACGUGUUCCUUUUUGUAUGUACCAUAUGAAUAAGCAUCGGCUAACUCCGUGCCAGCAGCCGCGGUAAUACGGAGGAUGCGAGCGUUAUCCGGAUUUAUUGGGUUUAAAGGGUGCGUAGGUGGUUAAUUAAGUCAGCGGUGAAAGUUUGUGGCUCAACCAUAAAAUUGCCGUUGAAACUGGUUGACUUGAGUAUAUUUGAGGUAGGCGGAAUGCGUGGUGUAGCGGUGAAAUGCAUAGAUAUCACGCAGAACUCCGAUUGCGAAGGCAGCUUACUAAACUAUAUCUGACGUUGAGGCACGAAAGCGUGGGGAGCAAACAGGAUUAGAUACCCGAGUAGUC